RNAcentral lists this long non-coding RNA (865 nucleotides) under Ananas comosus (pineapple). Its description in RNAcentral is "long non-coding RNA (ACOM_LNC000226)". The record is from RNAcentral. Lineage: Eukaryota; Viridiplantae; Streptophyta; Magnoliopsida; Poales; Bromeliaceae.
CUUAUGAAGUAUCUAAUUUACGUUUUUUUUGUUUCAAAGAUACCCCUCGUAUAUUUCUUCGUUAUUCAAAAAUACCCCCACGUACUAUUAGUAUUAGUUAAGUCAUUCCGAAUUAAAGCCGGGUUAAAUUUUUACUAGAAUUUUAAAAAAAUUAAAAUACCUAUUUUAUCCUUCAUUUAAGAGCAAAUAAGAAAAGUUGGUGAUGGUAGAAGCGUAUAUUCGAAAUGACAAAAAAAUCAAAAUACUUAUUUUGUCCCUAACUUAAGGACAAAUAGGAAAAGUUGGUGACGGUAAAGUUGUAAUUUCAUAUAAAUAAUAGUUGUUGCCAAUAGUUCAUUUACAGAAUUUAACUCUAAGUUUCUAAAAAUAUAUUUGAAAUAAUUUGGAACGCUAAAAUAGUAUUUUUAAUAUUAGACUUUUUAGAGAGAUAAAUUAAAAAGUCAGAAACGCAAUUGUUCCAAAAACAUAAGCCCUAAAAAAAUAUAGGGUAAAAUAGGGCUUUCCAAAAGAACGCAAUUAUCAGGGCUUUUUUUGCAUUUAGACCUCUCAAAAAAAAUUUCAUAAAUAAUUCCAUGAAAUUUAUAUUUACAAGAUUCACGCUAUCCUCACCAUGUGAGCGCCACGGGAGCGUCACGUAGGGAUAGUGAUAGAUUAAGUUAAACACGGUGAAUCAUUCACCGUACGUGUCCUUCCUAAAUCUUAAAUUUCAAAUAUUACGUAAUAUUAUGAUAGAAAAAAAAAUAAUAAAAUACGGUGAAUCAUUCACCGUGUCCAAACACAGUGAAUAAUUCACCGUAUUUAAUUUAAUCUACGUCGCCAUCCACGCUCGCGUGACACUGGCAUGACGCUUACGUGGUUGAAAUAG